Long non-coding RNA from Nannospalax galili (Upper Galilee mountains blind mole rat), 3396 nucleotides. RefSeq lists it as uncharacterized. The record is from RefSeq and is a predicted model, not a curated record. Lineage: Eukaryota; Metazoa; Chordata; Mammalia; Rodentia; Spalacidae. The transcript has 3 exons.
GCCUCAGGUUGGUCAGUGAAAUAUGGAAGGCUUGCUCAACCAAGUCUUCCAAACCUUAUGGCAAUGAGACUUCAGGAAAAAAACCUUUCAAAAAGGCCACAGAGAUUACCAACCAUAUCUGCCAAUGAGACAUUUGACCAAAUGGAAGCAAGGCUGCCAGAGCAGGCUCUGUACUGGCAAGUAAGAAAAUACUGUGUUUCUGGCCACUGACUGUGAAUACAUCUACAAGCUGCUUUUUGGAUGUCUGAUCUGGCUCAUUUAAAGGGCUUUGCAGUAACCAAGUUGAGAACACUCAGACCGGCAUCCAUAAUGCAAUCAUGAACUUGUGGUUUCUAACUCCAGUUCUUCUUGGUUCAUAACAAGAAUGGCCCUUACUCAGUAGCUGCCACACUCUGCCAUAAGUCAAGAUGCCAUACUUCAUGGGAAAAUAUCUCGCUGUUCAUUCCCACCACUGACUUAGACUAUAUAACCCUUCCACUCUUCGCCCAGGGCAUCAGCAGCAAUUUUGGCCCUGUGCUUUUCAUUAUGGACCGAGAAGAGGAGUUUAUCUGUGAGCCUAGAUGCCUCAUUCACCAUUCUCUGGCCACCAAAUAAAUGAGCUGUUCUUGGCACUCAGUAUCUUCUUUGCUUCCUGGCUUUGCAACUCUGAAGCAGAAAGAUCCCUUUGUGGGCAACUGUCCCGUACUAGCGGAAUCUCUCCCCAAGUUUGUGGAGAAGAGAAGCUGGAAGACACAUUCAGUUGUCUAAGCCAGAGAGUGAGCUAUGCUGAGAGAGUUAGAUAGGCAGAGCAGAGAAAAUUAGUGUUUGAUUUUGGAGAUAUGACUGACAGCUCUAAGAUGUCCUUCUGACAUGAAAGAAUGGCUUCCCAGCGGCAGAAGAUCAAGGUCUAUAAGCAAAAGCGACACAUUGGUCAAGGAUUUACCCAAUGACUAAGUGUCCCAGACUCACACACCAGAUGUGUGUAUACCCCAAACUAUGAUAGAUUUCCAAUCUUAUAAUUCCCAUGGAGAAGAAAAUCUGUUUUUUGAGUCUCAGACGCUCUCCCCUUAAGCUUCUUGUUUAGCUGAUUUAUAAAUGUUUGGGUUUUAUUUGCAUCAAAUAAAUUGUUUCCACCAGCGAGUUGAUGAUUCAGGCUGGGUGGGAAGCCCCUUCUGUCUUAAGGCCUUGUUCUUGCUAAUUUACCACGAAGCCUUUAUGGCCUUAGGAAUCCCUUUAUUUAUCUCUUAGUUAACUAUAGUAGUACUAUCUUGAGCCACUAAAAAUGUUGUGUCAAACUGAAAUGAAAGUGUCAUUUUUCAAUGUAACAUGAUUUUAUUGGAUAACUAUGAAUGGAAACCCAGAAACUGUGUAAACUGAUAAAUGUGAAGAGUAGUUACAGGGUGGGAACAUAUACCUCACUUUUCUCAAGGACAAGGAUGUUUUCAAGGAGUUUUUAGGUUAUCAUAGUACCUGGGUGGUGAAAUACAAAGUGGAUAUUAAACAGAAAAAUAAAAGACCUCAUGGUUAGGAAUAAUUAAAAAAUUAAGUAAAAUCAAAUAGCAAAAGGUAGAGUAACUUACAUAAUAUUUUGUCUCCUGCCCCUCUCUUUGCUUUACACUGUAGGUUUUGGGUAAGGUUGUCUUAGCUCUUGGUCAUGAGAGAAUUCCAUCCUACCAUCCACGGUCAAGGGUACAAUAUGUUCUGGUAGGAUUAAGGAGAGUCCUGCCAUACCUUGAAAUUUUGUUAAAGAAACAUUCUUGCCACUGAGACUGUUGGAUAUCGAAGCAUGAAUUCAGUAUUAAAAGCCCAUGUGGUAGAGCAGCCAGCAAAUAUUGGGUGUACAGUUAGACGAAAGGAGCCUAGAUAACAAAACAAACAGCAGGUCAAAGCUCGCAUAUAUGCAGCUUUACUGAUUCAGUCUCUUACAUUAUCCUGUUACCACUUAUGUGACCAUAGAAGUAGCAUCAGAAAGCAGAAUAAGAGAAAGAGAGCCUAAUCUCUGCUUAGGUUAGGUCCAAUCACAACAAAGUUAAAUGUCCAUUUCUUCAUUGUAUUUAUUUAGUUGUAUUAGCCAACUGUUUUGUGAGUUCUAUUUUAAUCUUAAUUAUCUUAAUUAGGUGGAAGAAAUAACACCUUCCAAACACUUGUGAGACUAAUAAUUUAUGGUACUUUGGUAUGUGGGUUAUUGUGAGUGGAAGAAAAUUGAGAAAUGGCAGAUAUAAGUUCAGACAUCUCUUAUUAGCCUAAAAAUAAGAUAACUGUGUUAAGCCAUCCUCUGUGUACCAGGAAGGGUGGUAGUUAAUCACAGGAGACAAUUCUGAAUGAUUACCAGCAUAGGCUGUAGCAGCUAGCUGGAGACUCUCCAUCACAAACCUUACGUCUAGCUCUUCCAUUUAUUUCCCAUAUCUGAAACCUCAUAGUUUGUCACUGACAAGACUGAGAAUUCUUUUCUUCUGCCUUCAAUUACCUACAUUAUUAUUGUACUUGAUAAGACGCUAGAUAAUAUAAGAUCUGGCUAUCUUUCUGAGUUUCACGCAAUUAAGUAAUCUUGUCUAAACAUUCAAUGCAUAUAUUAAUAAAUUUCUGUCUUUUGUCUGCCUAGUUUUCAGGAGCAUACUCAAUGAACUUAUAAUGUAGAGGAAAGUGUUACUUGCUACUGUUCUGUGAUUGUUCUUGCUUUAAUUCUUGCAAAUGCUGUGCUCUAUACUGACCCUGAUAAACACUAUUACAUAAGUUCCCAUUCAUCUUUUUAGAAAAACUUCGAAGCAUUAUCCCGUUACAGGGAAGACAGCUGAAAUCAAAAAAGGUAAUAGCCACCAAAGUUAUCUUGUGAUUAAGCAAGAACCUGGGCUUACACCCGAGAUACAUCCUAAAAGUUUCAACCUUCUUAUACUAUCUUUUUCAAAUCCAAAAUUAUUUCCAUGUCUUUUGCGUAAGGUAUUUUUGAUAAUCUUAAACUGUUACUAACUUCCACAGAUUAAGUCUUCCUGUGUCUCCCAGUUGCUUCUCCAUGCCUAAACUCAAAACAAGUCGUUAGCUGGGUCCAUGCGAAGUACUUAGAACCCAGUCUGUCCUCCUAUUUUGUUCUCUGUUCAGCAUCCAGAAGCUUGUUGACUUCCCUCUUACUAAUUUGUUUUCCAGUGUCAUUCUACUAUUUAUUUUGUUUUACUGCAAGGUCUUCAAGGACAAGAAUUUGGUUUAUUUUUUCUCACUGCAAAAUAUUCAUUGCUUAACAAUGUCUGAUGCUUAGCCAUGUAGUGUUUCCAUUCAUUCUUCCAUUUCUAAAUAUCCCUGUAAACUAAACUGGGCCAAACACUUAGGUCUAGAUGAUGUCUCUCCCUAAACUAUGACUUUAUUAUCCAUUAAUUUAGUUUUUUACAUGGAAAUAUAAUCAAUAUUCAGAUUGAAUAAAUCAAA